Non-coding RNA from Caerostris darwini, 112 nucleotides. The record is from the annotation of a GenBank genome assembly. NCBI's taxonomy places the organism in Eukaryota, Metazoa, Arthropoda, Arachnida, Araneae, Araneidae.
AACGGCCAUACCAUGUUCGAUAUACCGGUUCUCGUUAGAUCACCGAAGUCAAGCAUCAUUGGGCGCGGUCAGUACUUGGGUGGGUGACCACCUGGGAGAACACCGCGUGCCG